UACGGAGGGUGCGAGCGUUGUCCGGAAUUAUUGGGCGUAAAGCGCGCGCAGGUGGUCCUUUAAGUCUGAUGUGAAAGCCCACGGCUCAACCGUGGAGGGUCAUUGGAAACUGGGGGACUUGAGUGCAGGAGAGAAGAGUGGAAUUCCACGUGUAGCGGUGAAAUGCGUAGAGAUGUGGAGGAACACCGGUGGCGAAGGCGGCUACCUGGACAGAAACUGACGCUGAGGCGCGAAAGCUAGGGGAGCAAACAGG
This 253-nucleotide ribosomal RNA is filed under the name uncultured bacterium. RNAcentral describes it as "partial 16S ribosomal RNA". It matches the Rfam family "Bacterial small subunit ribosomal RNA", at positions 524 to 776 of the family's 1533-position model. The record is from RNAcentral.